This 301-nucleotide ribosomal RNA is filed under the name uncultured bacterium. Its description in RNAcentral is "partial 16S ribosomal RNA". It matches the Rfam family "Bacterial small subunit ribosomal RNA", at positions 509 to 807 of the family's 1533-position model. The record is from RNAcentral.
CAGCAGCCGCGGGAACACGAAGGGUGCAAGCGUUAAUCGGAAUUACUGGGCGUAAAGCGUGCGUAGGCGGUGAGUUAAGUCUGCUGUGAAAUCCCCGGGCUCAACCUGGGAAAGGCAGUGGAUACUGGCUCGCUAGAGUGUGUCAGAGGAUGGUGGAAUUCCCGGUGUAGCGGUGAAAUGCGUAGAGAUCGGGAGGAACAUCAGUGGCGAAGGCGGCCAUCUGGGACAACACUGACGCUGAGGCACGAAAGCGUGGGGAGCAAACAGGAUUAGAUACCCCCGUAGUCCCUGUCUCUUAUAC